This is a long non-coding RNA of Taeniopygia guttata (zebra finch), 1565 nucleotides long. Lineage: Eukaryota; Metazoa; Chordata; Aves; Passeriformes; Estrildidae. The record is from Ensembl.
GACCCCCAGGCCACCACCUUCGAUGACAAAAUCUGGAACUUCCUCGUGGUCAACGGACGAGGACAUGCGGAGUGUCACCAGCCUGAGCCCCUCCGGGGACGUGGCCGACCUGGGGGACUUCGAGAGUGACCCCGAGGACGAGGGGGGCGCCCCCCCCGCGCCCCCAGGUGGGUCCCCAAUGUCCCCAAGGUGUCCCCAAGGUGUCCCCAAGGUGUCCCCAAGGUGUCCCCAAGGUGUCCCCCCAAUGCCGGGGGUGGCUCUGGGGGGGACACACGAGCCCGGCCCCCCCCGGGGGUCCCUGACCCUCCUCUCCCCCAGCGCCCCCCCCCAGCGGGGACCCCCCGAAUUUGGGGACCCGGAGGGACCCCCCGGAGCCGGGGGGGGACCCAGAGACCCCCCCCGAAAUCAGUGCCGUGAGUGGGGGAGGGGCUCGGGGACCCCUGAAUUGGGGGAGGGGGAGGGGGGGGAGUUUGGGGACCCCCUGAAUUGGGGGGGGGGGAGGGGGGGAGUUUGGGGACCCCCUGAAUUGAGGGGGGGGGUCCCAUGGGGGUGGGGGGGGGUUUGGGGCCGUUCCUCCUCCCCCAUUUUGGGGCUGGGGGGGGUCUCAGGGUUUUGGAGGGUCUCUGGGUUUUGGGGGGGGUCUCAGGGUUCUGGGGGGGGUCUCUGGGUUUUGGGGGGGGUCUCUGGGUUUUGGGGGGGUCUCUGGGUUUUGGGGGGGGUCUCUGGGUGCUGGGGGGGUCUCUGGGUUUUGGGGGGGUCUCAGGGUUUUGGGGGGGGUCUCUGGGUUCAGGGGGGGGUCUCUGGGUUUUGGGGGUUCUCUCUGAGCUGACCCCCCCCCCGUGCCCCCCCCAGGACCCCCCCGGGGGUCGCGGGGCGCUCCUGGCCUGGUGCCGGGGGGUCACGGCCGGGUACCGGGGGGUCGCCGUCACCGAUUUCGGGGGGUCCUGGAGCAGCGGGUUGGGGUUCUGCGCCCUCCUGCACCGGCUGAGACCCCGAGAGAUGUGAGGGGGGGCUGGGGGGGCGGGGAGGGGACACAGGGGGGGGGUCCUGGAGGGUUUGGGGGGGUCCUGGAAGGUUUGGGGGGGUCCUGGAGGGUUUGGGGGGGGGGUCCUGGAAGGUUUGGGGGGGUCCUGGGGGGUCCUGGGGGGUUUGGGGGGGGGUCCUGGAGGGUUUGGGGGGGGGGUCCUGGAAGGUUUGGGGGGGUCCUGGGGGAGUCCUGGGGGGUUUGGGGGGGUCUUGGGGGGGGUCCUGGAGGGUUUGGGGGGGAUAUGGGGGGGAGUUCUGGAAGGUUGGUGGGGGUCCUGGAAGGUUUGGGGGGGUCCUGGAAGGUUUGGGGGGGGGUCCUGGGGGGUUUGGGGGGGUCCUGGAAGGUUUGGGGGGCUGACAGGGGACAGAGGGGACACCUGGGAGGGGAGUGGGGGGUCCUUGGGGGGUUUGAGGAGCAAUUUUUGGGGACCACCCAUGGGUGAAGGGGGGGUCAGGGCACCCCGGGGAUGUUGGGGGGAUCCCUUGGGUGUGGGGGUGGGCACUGGGGGGGGUUUGUGUCACUUGGGGACCCCUCAGUG